CAAGUAAGGUCUUCCCUUACUCUAUUUCCUCAAAGGAAGAAAUAGUCGGGAAGUAGAUAGAGCGGACCGUUUCCCCCUCCGAGCUUUGCCCUCCUCCCCUCGGGGGAGACACCAACUUCCUUCGGUGAUGUUAGCAGCCCUUGUUUUUCUAAAAAGAAGAAAAAGCACUAGAAAUCGGUAAUGCCGUAAGUGAGGUUCGAAACCACUGAUGUCGAUCCGGUAGCUGAGUAACGUCAGUUCUGAAACCUCGUAUCUACGCAGGACGCGCCAUAAUUAUUUCGUAAGCUUGAGAGGUGUAAUUUCGGAAGUUAAUCGCCCGAGAUAUGACCCAUCCUGAAAAGUAGCUCUAAUCUAGGAGCUGCAUUGUUGUUCGAGAUCCUCUGCACGGCAGUUCGCGGGCUUGGUGCAAGCGGCUUGCUGUGGAUUGAUCUUUCAAGCUGGGAGCUUUGGGAUCAGCCGGGCCUGCAAGGGUUUGGAAUUGCUCGAAAGAAUACAGCUUUGAACAACAUAGGGGGGAUGACCGUAUUCAGGGGCGGUCCUCCUAAAGUGGAGAAAGACUAGGGGAAUAUGGGGUCCGGAUCUUGCGGUGCAUACAGUUUCAGCGGAAGUAGCUGUCCGCUCCCUUGUCCAGUAACCAUUCUGAGUGGGGCUAGAACUUUGACGGGAAAAGCGCCGGGUCCGGGAAAGAAAGGAGUCACACAAAUAGGU
RNAcentral lists this long non-coding RNA (708 nucleotides) under Panax ginseng (ginseng). Its description in RNAcentral is "long non-coding RNA (PGIN_LNC014226)". The record is from RNAcentral. Lineage: Eukaryota; Viridiplantae; Streptophyta; Magnoliopsida; Apiales; Araliaceae.